Molecule: ribosomal RNA, 253 nt
Filed under: uncultured bacterium
Lineage: Bacteria
Description: partial 16S ribosomal RNA
Rfam family: Bacterial small subunit ribosomal RNA
Source: RNAcentral
GACAGAGGGUGCAAACGUUGUUCGGAAUUACUGGGCGUAAAGCGUGUGUAGGCGGCUUUGCAAGUCGGAUGUGAAAGCCCAGGGCUCAACCCUGGAAGUGCACUCGAUACUGCGAAGCUUGAGUAUCGGAGAGGUUGGUGGAAUUCUCGGUGUAGAGGUGAAAUUCGUAGAUAUCGAGAGGAACACCGGUGGCGAAGGCGGCCAACUGGACGAAUACUGACGCUGAGACACGAAAGCGUGGGGAGCAAACAGG